UACGUAGGGGGCUAGCGUUGUCCGGAAUCAUUGGGCGUAAAGCGCGCGUAGGCGGCCCAGUAAGUCCGUUGUAAAAGUCAAAGGCUCAACCUUUGAAAGCCGAUGGAUACUGCUGGGCUAGAGUCCGGAAGAGGAGAGUGGAAUUCCUGGUGUAGCGGUGAAAUGCGCAGAUAUCAGGAAGAACACCCGUGGCGAAGGCGGCUUUCUGGGACGGUACUGACGCUGAGACGCGAAAGCGUGGGGAGCGAACAGG
RNAcentral lists this ribosomal RNA (253 nucleotides) under uncultured bacterium. RNAcentral describes it as "partial 16S ribosomal RNA". It matches the Rfam family "Bacterial small subunit ribosomal RNA", at positions 524 to 776 of the family's 1533-position model. The record is from RNAcentral.